GACGAACGCUGGCGGCGUGCUUAACACAUGCAAGUCGAACGGAAAGGCCCUGCUUUUGUGGGGUGCUCGAGUGGCGCACGGGUGAGUAACCCGUGAGUAACCUGCCCUUGACUUUGGGAUAACUUCAGGAAACUGGGGCUAAUACCGGAUAGGAGCUCCUGCUGCAUGGGGGGGGUUGGAAAGUUUCGGCGGUUGGGGAUGGACUCGCGGCUUAUCAGCUUGUUGGUGGGGUAGUGGCUUACCAAGGCUUUGACGGGUAGCCGGCCUGAGAGGGUGACCGGCCACAUUGGGACUGAGAUACGGCCCAGACUACUACGGGAGGCAGCAGGGGGGAAUAUUGCACAAUGGGCGGAAGCCUGAUGCAGCAACGCCGCGUGCGGGAUGACGGCCUUCGGGUUGUAAACCGCUUUCGCCUGUGACGAAGCGUGAGUGACGGUAAUGGGUAAAGAAGCACCGGCUAACUACGUG
This 468-nucleotide ribosomal RNA is filed under the name uncultured bacterium. RNAcentral's name for it is "partial 16S ribosomal RNA". It matches the Rfam family "Bacterial small subunit ribosomal RNA", at positions 28 to 507 of the family's 1533-position model. The record is from RNAcentral.